UACGGAGGAGGCAAGCGUUAUCCGGAAUUAUUGGGCGUAAAGCGUCCGCAGGUGGCGAUUCAAGUCUGCGGUUAAAGACUGGGGCUUAACCCUGGAAAGGCCGUGGAAACUGAAACGCUAGAGUGCAGUAGGGGUAGAGGGAAUUCCCGGUGUAGCGAUGAAAUGCGUAGAGCUCGGGAAGAACAUCGGUGGCGAAAGCGCUCUGCUGGACUGCAACUGACACUCAGGGACGAAAGCUAGGGGAGCGAAUGGG
RNAcentral lists this ribosomal RNA (253 nucleotides) under uncultured bacterium. Its description in RNAcentral is "partial 16S ribosomal RNA". It matches the Rfam family "Bacterial small subunit ribosomal RNA", at positions 524 to 776 of the family's 1533-position model. The record is from RNAcentral.